AUAAUUUGCAGUCACUGACCCCUGGGCCAAUCAAGCAGCAAUAAGGACUUACUGUUGUUUGCAGUGCUGUUUGGUGUCCCUGUGCAUACCCCCUCUGCAAGUCAGGAGGCACUUGGGAGGAAUUUGGGAGGGGUCAUACAACAGUGAUAUGACUCUAGGAGACUAUUUCUCUUUUUCUAGACUUUGUCAGAUGCCCCUGAGAGAUUGUUUGGACAAUGUUUUUUUGUCGUUUUCUCCUUAACUACAGGAAAGACUGGAUAAUGCCUUGUAAUGUGAAGGUUUCUCUGCUGUCAUCUGUGAAUGUCAAGUACAAUUAGAAGUUUGCAGGAGCAGUACAAAAGCUAAUCCAUUUGGAGUCAUCUUGAGCACUUGACCUCCUUUUAUCUUUGGACAAUGAGCUUCACAGAUUAAUGAAGUGUUUCUAGACUGUUGGUCUUCAGCAUCACUGGGUGUCAGCUUCCAUGAAUACAGAUCACCAGGACCACCUUGUUCAUGGUAUAAAGUAAACAAGGAGAAGACAUACCAGAGGCUGCUAUUAACCUACAGGCUGCUGGUCCCCAGACAGUUUGGAGAGUUACCUCAGUGAGAAAUAUCACAGAGCAUGAAUCCUCCUGGGCUCGCCAGGGCUAAGGCAAGAACAAGACUGCAGGGUAAGGGCAAUAGGAACCAAUAUGAAGUCAGUCAGAUGUCCUUUCAUGUCAAGCAUUCUGCCUCUGAGAGGGGCUAUGUGUAAGUACAGCAAAGGAAGAAGUAAGAAUCCUUG
This is a long non-coding RNA of Neopelma chrysocephalum (saffron-crested tyrant-manakin), 763 nucleotides long. RefSeq lists it as uncharacterized. NCBI's taxonomy places the organism in Eukaryota, Metazoa, Chordata, Aves, Passeriformes, Pipridae. The record is from RefSeq and is a predicted model, not a curated record. The transcript is spliced from 3 exons.